RNAcentral lists this unclassified non-coding RNA (300 nucleotides) under fungal sp. RNAcentral's name for it is "partial internal transcribed spacer region". The stretch from base 1 to 46 matches the Rfam family "Eukaryotic small subunit ribosomal RNA", at positions 1786 to 1831 of the family's 1831-position model. Lineage: Eukaryota; Fungi. The record is from RNAcentral.
AAGUCGUAACAAGGUUUCCGUAGGUGAACCUGCGGAAGGAUCAUUACUGAGUUGGGUAUUUGCGGAAGCAAAUGCCGAGUGCUGAGUGGCUGCGUAAGCAGUCACUCACAUAUGCCCGCUCCCGCGAGGGAGUAGGAUCUGGAGUUGAUGUAGAGUGCGGUAUGUGAAGCAGCAUUGAUUUGCAAGAGUCAAUGCUGCCUUCGCCUUCGCCUUUGCAUUGGCUUCAAAAUACCUUUUUUAUUUUAGUCAUCACACACUUUUAAAUUACAAUGACUUUUAACAAUGGAUCUCUGGGCUCCU